UACACUGGGAAGGGUGAGACUGAGGU
RNAcentral lists this non-coding RNA (26 nucleotides) under Homo sapiens (human). The record is from RNAcentral. Lineage: Eukaryota; Metazoa; Chordata; Mammalia; Primates; Hominidae.